This is a non-coding RNA of Apaloderma vittatum (bar-tailed trogon), 84 nucleotides long. NCBI's taxonomy places the organism in Eukaryota, Metazoa, Chordata, Aves, Trogoniformes, Trogonidae. The record is from Rfam.
GGUCCGGUUAGCUCAGUGGUUUGAGCACCGUGCUGGCAACAAUGACCAACACCGAGGUCACGGGUUCGAUUCCCGCUCGGUCCC